AGACCAGGAACGUGUGUUUUUUGUAAUUAAUCUUCUGAAAGGAGCCGCCAGAUGCUGGGUGCCUCUCCUAUUAAUUAAUCAAGACCCUUGUUUGUUGAGAUUGGAUAGUUUUAUGGCUCAUCUUGAGUCCGUGUUCCAGGACCCAUAGCAGAAACCUGCAAGUACACGAAAGCUAAUGAAGCUGAAGCAGAGGUCUAACUCAGUAAUGGAGUACAGUACAGAGUUCAGUUUGUUGUCACAGGAACUAGCAUGGAAUCAGGAUGCCUUGCUGGCUAUUUACUGUGCAGGGCUGAGUGAAACCCUGCU
Podarcis lilfordi (Lilford's wall lizard) is the source of this 306-nucleotide non-coding RNA. NCBI's taxonomy places the organism in Eukaryota, Metazoa, Chordata, Lepidosauria, Squamata, Lacertidae. The record is from the annotation of a GenBank genome assembly.